RNAcentral lists this ribosomal RNA (253 nucleotides) under uncultured bacterium. RNAcentral describes it as "partial 16S ribosomal RNA". It matches the Rfam family "Bacterial small subunit ribosomal RNA", at positions 524 to 776 of the family's 1533-position model. The record is from RNAcentral.
UACGGAGGGUGCAAGCGUUGUCCGGAUUCAUUGGGUUUAAAGGGUGCGUAGGCGGCCGAUUAAGUCAGUGGUGAAAGCCUGUAGCUCAACUACAGAACUGCCAUUGAUACUGGUUGGCUUGAGUAUGGUAGAGGUAAGCGGAAUGGAUGGUGUAGCGGUGAAAUGCAUAGAUAUCAUCCAGAACACCGAUAGCGAAGGCAGCUUACUGGGCCGAAACUGACGCUGAGGCACGAAAGCGUGGGGAUCAAACAGG